AACCCCCUUCAUUUCCCCAUAUCUCCCAUCUGUUACUCCUCUCUUACCCUCCGCGUAAAGCCGCCGCUGGAGAUCGCCCUAUGGCGGCGGCACACAUCAAAUGACCCUAAUUUAACACCAUACAAUCCCCAUCCGCCCCUCUUUCCAAAUCCCUUACCCGUUUUACCUAAAUCUGUCUCAAACGCUAUCUCUAGUAGAUCUAAGAUUUUACCAAGAACAAAUCUGCCCCCUUUUCGAUUUUCGCGGUAAUUUCAACUCGUUUUGACCAAGAACCUACGUCGAUCGAUUGUUCUUAACAAGAACAAUUGAUUGACGUUGGUUUUUGUUCAUUCCGAAACCGCUGGAUCUUGGUCAAUCCACCUUUGACCGGCCAGAAUUCUCUCUGCCUCGUUUGCUCGCCGGAGUUCUAUGUGCUGACCGGAAUUCUUUGAAUGUAUUGGUAAUCCCCUCUAUCCAUACUCAUUUGUUUUCCAAUUAUUCACUGUAAUAGCCAUUUUCAGAUUGCCUCUAAUUCAAUUUACUUGUUUUAAACUUGACAAUGAACUAAUUGAUAUUAAGUUUGUUUUAGCAUGUUCACAUGUAAGUAUCAAAGCUUGAGUUUGAUUAAUUGGGUUUACGUUUGAAGUUGCAUUACUGUGGUGGCAAGUAGAGAUUGUUAGUUCACUUAGGCCCGUUGGAUCUGAAUUCUGAGUGGGAAAUUGGGUACGAUUGAGAAGGGUUUGGGCAUAUGUUCCUGGUCGUUAGUAAUUAAUAAUGAUAAAAUGUUAAUUUAGAGAUUUAAUUUGGAAGGAAUCUUCAUGUAACUGCUAGGAAGUUUCUAGAAAUAAAAAAGGGACCAGAUAGCAAUAAAUUGAUAAAGAGAAGGGGAAUUCGUGGGAUUUGGGGGUUGAAAAGAGUGAAUACAGUAAAGAAAAGGGGUUAAAAAGGGAGAAGGGUAUCUAAAAGAGACAGCUGGUACAAAAUCUGUCAAGAAAAGAUGCUGAAAAAUAGGAAGAAUAUCUAAAAAGGGACAGCUGUCCAUUUCUCUUGAGAAAAGAUGUUGAUGUCUUGAUUUUUAGGGGGCUGGGGGCUGGCAGAAGGCUCUCAGACAGACCCCUACAUGUUCACUAAAGGGGGACACUAAUUUUCUCUGCAGAAAUCUCACACACAUUCUCUCAUCCUCACUGAUUUCUCUUAAAGAUAACACUCUAAAAAUCCAAUUUAAAUACAGAAAAAACCAAAAAAAAAAAGAAGUAGGAUUCAGAGCUGUUUCUCAUCCCCAUAUUGUGGCUGCAUAUAUCUUGAUUCCAUAGCUGUUUGAGUUGAAAACUCGCUAUUUGGGCUGCUGUAUUUAUUCUACUGGGUUGAGCUGUAGUUUGAAGUUCAGAUUUCUCCUUGUUUCUCUGUUGCUGCUUCGUUGCUGGUAGCUCUGUUUUACUUCUGCAGAUUUAGGUACACAUACAUCAACUUGUAAUUCAUCUCUUUCAUUAAAAUGACUGGUUUCAUGAGAUAAAUGGUGUUUUGUGGCUAUUGUUAUGUUUCUGUCAUCCACAUGUAACGUGAUGUUCAGCUGGUUCUAAAUGUGAUAUAUCAUGUCUAUAAUGUCUGUGAUUGAAUAAACUGAAGUUUUAUCUCUAAGAAGUUGAAUCAUAUGUAAUUUGGUUAGUUCACGGGCAAUGAUUGUUGUUUUGAGUCCUAUUUGUCUAAUCUAGUGUUAUUGACUUCUUCUCUUAUUAACUGAACCAUUUGGAAGGUAUAAGGAGUCAUAUUUAAGGAUUACUCUGUUUUCUUGAAGCCAUCAAAGGGAGUGUAGGUGGGCUAAUUGAAUGAAUUUUACGGUUAAAGUUGUAGUCUAUGUGAUUCAUUAUGAUAAAGAUUUGUGUAUAAUUUUAUGUUAACAUUACUGAUUUGAAGCCGAUUUUAUUGUCAUUUGAUUAAACGUUUAUUCUGUUUGGAUGUUGG
Molecule: long non-coding RNA, 1941 nt
Filed under: Nicotiana tabacum (common tobacco)
Lineage: Eukaryota; Viridiplantae; Streptophyta; Magnoliopsida; Solanales; Solanaceae
Description: long non-coding RNA (NTAB_LNC009040)
Source: RNAcentral